CUGCCAUUAUGGCUAAUAUUGCUAAUAUUGCCAAUACCACAGUUUCUUAUACAGCUAAUGCUCGCACCUGGUCUGCAGUGGUAAACGUUCCACCGGGACGCCCCUUCUCUCAUCUGUCUUCUUCUCGCAUACAUUACGGCCGGUGCGAUGAGGUUGUCAUGGUGCUGGCCAGGCUGUGGUUGCCGUGGGGAUGGGAUCUUGUCUCCGGGACGCUGCAGCAGGAUGAUUCAGAAAGAGUCAUCUGAGUUCAAAGCACCAUAUUUUUCCCACCGUGAGGCACCUAGGAUCCAAUCACAAUCCAACUGAAAGAGGAGCUGAGACCCCUGAGCAGAAUGUUCUGCGUUCUCCACGUCAAUAAGAGUGAAUCCGUCAGAACU
Molecule: long non-coding RNA, 377 nt
Organism: Pygocentrus nattereri (red-bellied piranha)
Lineage: Eukaryota; Metazoa; Chordata; Actinopteri; Characiformes; Serrasalmidae
Exons: 3
Source: RefSeq, a predicted model, not a curated record